This 85-nucleotide transfer RNA is filed under the name Acidobacteriota bacterium. RNAcentral's name for it is "Acidobacteria bacterium tRNA-OTHER". It matches the Rfam family "tRNA". From Rfam's summary of the family: Transfer RNA (tRNA) molecules are approximately 80 nucleotides in length. Lineage: Bacteria; Pseudomonadati; Acidobacteriota. The record is from RNAcentral. RNAcentral also lists the same sequence under 1 other name.
GCCGGAGUGGCGGAUCGGCCAGACGCGCAAGAUUUAGGAAUCUUGUGGUCGAAAAGUCUUGGGGGUUCAAAUCCCUCCUUCCGCA